CAGCAGCCGCGGGAAUACGAAGGGGGCUAGCGUUGUUCGGAAUCACUGGGCGUAAAGGGUGCGUAGGCGGAUUCUUAAGUCAGGGGUGAAAUCCCGAGGCUCAACCUCGGAACUGCCUUUGAUACUGGGGAUCUUGAGUCCGGAAGAGGUGAGUGGAACUGCGAGUGUAGAGGUGAAAUUCGUAGAUAUUCGCAAGAACACCAGUGGCGAAGGCGGCUCACUGGUCCGGAACUGACGCUGAGGCACGACAGCGUGGGGAGCAAACAGGAUUAGAUACCCCCGUAGUCCCUGUCUCUUAUAA
RNAcentral lists this ribosomal RNA (301 nucleotides) under uncultured bacterium. Its description in RNAcentral is "partial 16S ribosomal RNA". It matches the Rfam family "Bacterial small subunit ribosomal RNA", at positions 509 to 809 of the family's 1533-position model. The record is from RNAcentral.